This 405-nucleotide ribosomal RNA is filed under the name uncultured bacterium. RNAcentral's name for it is "bacterial SSU rRNA". It matches the Rfam family "Bacterial small subunit ribosomal RNA", at positions 355 to 776 of the family's 1533-position model. The record is from RNAcentral.
UGGGGGAUAUUGCACAAUGGAGGAAACUCUGAUGCAGCAACGCCGCGUGAGGGAUGAAGGUUUUCGGAUUGUAAACCUCUGUCCUCGGGGAAGAAUUCUGACGGUACCCGGGGAGGAAACUCCGGCUAACUACGUGCCAGCAGCCGCGGUAAUACGUAGGGAGUAAGCGUUGUCCGGAUUUAUUGGGUGUAAAGGGUGCGUAGGCGGCUUUGCAAGUCAGGCGUGUAAUUCAGAGGCUUAACCUCUGAACUGCGCUUGAAACUGCUUGGCUUGAGUGAAGUAGAGGCAGAUGGAAUUUCCAGUGUAGCGGUAAAAUGCAUAGAUAUUGGAAGGAACACCGGUGGCGAAGGCGAUCUGCUGGGCUUUAACUGACGCUGAGGCACGAAAGUGUGGGGAGCAAACAGG